UACGUAGGGCGCAAGCGUUGUCCGGAAUUAUUGGGCGUAAAGCGCGUGUAGGCGGUCCGGUAAGUCGGUUGUGAAAGUCCAGGGCUCAACCCUGGGAUGCCGACCGAUACUGUCGGACUAGAGUUCGGAAGAGGAGAGUGGAAUUCCCGGUGUAGCGGUGAAAUGCGCAGAUAUCGGGAGGAACACCUAUGGCGAAGGCAGCUCGCUGGGACGUUACUGACGCUGAGACGCGAAAGCGUGGGGAGCAAACAGG
RNAcentral lists this ribosomal RNA (253 nucleotides) under uncultured bacterium. RNAcentral describes it as "partial 16S ribosomal RNA". It matches the Rfam family "Bacterial small subunit ribosomal RNA", at positions 524 to 776 of the family's 1533-position model. The record is from RNAcentral.